RNAcentral lists this ribosomal RNA (318 nucleotides) under Hemistomia cockerelli. RNAcentral describes it as "eukaryotic LSU rRNA". The record is from RNAcentral. Lineage: Eukaryota; Metazoa; Mollusca; Gastropoda; Littorinimorpha; Tateidae.
UAUUGAACGCAUAUUGCGGCCACGGGUCCGUCCUGUGGCCACGCCCGUCUGAGGGUCGGCGACGUUGUACCCAUCGCUGGAAGGCUCUGGUCCAGCGCCUUGAGCUUUCGUAGCCGCGAGGCUCCGUGGCUUGAAGUGAAGACCUGAAAGUGCCAAAAAGAAAAGUCCUCGUACUCGAUCGCGCAGCAGUCCUCAUGCGAGCAAAGGACAUGGCCCGGUUGAACUGUCUUUGCGAGCGAGCGAGCGGUUGGAGGAUGGAUCGAUCACACUUCCGACCUCAGAUCGGACGAGAUUACCCGCUGAAUUUAAGCAUAUCAC